This 1055-nucleotide long non-coding RNA is filed under the name Nicotiana tabacum (common tobacco). RNAcentral describes it as "long non-coding RNA (NTAB_LNC001173)". Lineage: Eukaryota; Viridiplantae; Streptophyta; Magnoliopsida; Solanales; Solanaceae. The record is from RNAcentral.
CUUUUUCAUCUUCUUCUGGAACCAAGACUAAAAAAGUCCCUACCCAAAAAAAAGAGGAGACCAACGGCAGAACUCAAUGGACAACCCAUCGCCCGUCUUCUUCUUCAGCCUCUUGAAUGCCAAAAAACCAGAACCCCCUUAAACCUUCAACCUUCACAAACCAACGACCACCCCUUUCGAAAAAUCCAUCUUCCUCGCCUCUCCAAUCGCCUGAGACAGCAGUAAAAGCACACACACACAUGGAAAGGCUGAAACAGUGAUGCACACACACAUAGGGAUAUUGGAAAACAAAAACAGAAAAGUGAAAACGAGCAAGGAACAUAAUAGAAAUUGAAAUCCAUUAAUCUUUUUCCUUAAAAAUAAAUCUCGACCCAUAAGCUUUAUGUCAGGCCAUCAACCAUAAAUUCCAGUCAAGCCUUUGAGAUUCGGUUUUCUAGGACGAGUAGAGGUCGGGUUCGUCGGCAAGAUUUGAAUUUCUCCGGCGAGGUUCGGUCAGUCCGUCGUUUGUCGAAUUUCCUUCGUGGUCUUGGUCACAUCCCUAUCCUUUUGGGAGCUUCAAAACAGUCAAGUUCAGAUUCGCUUUCAGAGGUCCCCUUCUCACAUUUUUAUUUCUUGAGUUUAACGGAUCAUGCUAAUCUUGUUUUACUUGUGUUUGCUUGGUUAUAAAAUUGCAUUUGUGAGUUUAAAUUUGGUUGUUUGAUUCUUGACAUCUGAUUUUCCUUGGUUUGAACUAAUUUUUCAUUAUUUUGUUGUUGUUGUUGUUUUGUUUGUUAUUGUUGAUAAAGUGAAAAAUGAAAGACAUAAAGAAAGAAAAUGUUGGCUAGUGAUGAUUAAUUGGAAAUGUACUAUGGGGGAUUGGAAUGCUAAAGCAAAAUAAUUUGGACUAAACUAAAAAUCGUUUAUUACUUUCAUUAUUCCCUUUGAUCGUAAGAAGCAUAUUUUAGGUUGUUAACGCAUGAGCAAGAAUUGAGUUUUCAUUUUAUUUAGUUCUAUUUUAUUUAUUUUAUUUUAUUAUCCGCUAGGAACAUACUUAGGCCGACCACACUUGGGGAGGC